RNAcentral lists this ribosomal RNA (749 nucleotides) under uncultured bacterium. RNAcentral's name for it is "bacterial SSU rRNA". It matches the Rfam family "Bacterial small subunit ribosomal RNA", at positions 35 to 796 of the family's 1533-position model. The record is from RNAcentral.
GCUGGCGGCGUGCUUAACACAUGCAAGUCGAACGAUGAUGCCCUGCUUGCAGGGUGGAUUAGUGGCGAACGGGUGAGUAACACGUGGGUGAUCUGCCCUGCACUUCGGGAUAAGCCUGGGAAACUGGGUCUAAUACCGGAUAUGACCCUCCUUUAGUGUGGGGGGUGGAAAGCUUUUGCGGUGUGGGAUGAGCCUGCGGCCUAUCAGCUUGUUGGUGGGGUAAUGGCCUACCAAGGCGUCGACGGGUAGCCGGCCUGAGAGGGUGAUCGGCCACAUUGGGACUGAGGCACGGCCCAGACUCCUACGGGAGGCAGCAGUGGGGAAUAUUGCACAAUGGGCGAAAGCCUGAUGCAGCGACGCCGCGUGGGGGAUGAAGGCCUUCGGGUUGUAAACUCCUUUCGCCAGGGACGAAGCGUUAUAGUGACGGUACCUGGAGAAGAAGCACCGGCUAACUACGUGCCAGCAGCCGCGGUAAUACGUAGGGUGCGAGCGUUGUCCGGAAUUACUGGGCGUAAAGAGCUCGUAGGUGGUUUGUCACGUCGUCUGUGAAAUCCCGGGGCUUAACCUCGGGCGUGCAGGCGGUACGGGCAUAACUUGAGUGCUGUAGGGGAGACUGGAAUUCCUGGUGUAGCGGUGAAAUGCGCAGAUAUCAGGAGGAACACCAAUGGCGAAGGCAGGUCUCUGGGCAGUAACUGACGCUGAGGAGCGAAAGCAUGGGUAGCGAACAGGAUUAGAUACCCUGGUAGUCC